Molecule: non-coding RNA, 104 nt
Filed under: human gut metagenome
Description: THF riboswitch
Rfam family: THF (Tetrahydrofolate) riboswitch aptamer
About the family: THF riboswitch presents a pseudoknot that joins P1-P2 and the loop of P3 and two THF binding.
Source: RNAcentral
GCAGAGUAGGAACUGACGCGUUAAGUGGCGGGCGAACGGGAAGUUGUCGCCUGCACGAAAAGCAACAAAAAAUUGCUUGCGGUGUCUUUUCCGCAUUCCGCUGC